AUGACGUCAUCAUGGCGACCGCUAACGAUAUGGAAAAAGAUAAAGUCAAACCGAAAGGUCCACGUGGCAAAUUCAAGUCUCGUUUGUUGAAAGUGAUGAGUACAUAUGGCCGAGAACUGUGUUUUAUAUUGGCUGUAUUGUUUACGGCUCUUGCAGCUCUACACAAUGGCCCACCAAAGACUAGGAAAGCUAGUCCUCCACAGAAGUUUUUCUCCUCGUCUUCCCUAGUGAGUGAUUAUUAUUUAGGCUCUAUGCAACAACUUAGUGGAUUACUUAUGGAGAAAGAAGUUUCAUUUGUAAUGUAUUAUGCUCCCUGGGAUUCCACUUGUAUUGAAACGCAGGAAGAAUUUGAAGCUGUAGCUAGGUUUUUUCUCACACAGGUGUUUUUUGCUGCUGUGAAUUGCUGGUGGCCAGAUGGCGAAUGUCGACAAAAGUUACAGCCAGAUUCUUAUCCUGUCCUCAUUGUUCACGUGCGAUGGGCAACAGACAUAUACUACAAGGGUCCUCUUGUCAGGCACUAUAUGAUUUCCUUUCUGGAUAAUGUUUUGAAUCCAAUAAAAACCUGUCACCAUGAAAAAGAAAUACUGGAAUUACAAGUGCAACAUGAGGCAGUUCUUGUAAGUUUUUUUGACUUCCAAGCUUCACCAGAGCCACGAGGCUACAAACAGUUUUAUAUGGCAUCGCUGACUGCUCUCAGCAUUGAUCCUACCAGGAGGCUUGGGUUUGGCAUCAUAACUACUAAAAAAAUGGCACUGAAGCUAAAAAUGACAUCUUCCUCUACAGUUGUUCUGUAUCUGUGGAAUGGUACAGAGGUGUACCCUGACAAGAGAAUGGACACCAAAAACAUCCUGAACUGGGCUUACAACAGGCUUCAACAGGUUCACCUGAUAAAGUGGAUUUGUCCAUUACAAUCGAAGAGCAGAAUGCUUUCAGGAUUGAUUGAAAACUAUCCAACUCUUGUUUUAUUUACUCCUCGUAACCUGAUCCGAGGAGUCUCUCCAUAUUAUGAUUUGCUACGAGAAGUUGUUUUGGACUAUUACAACUGUAACUCCUCGACCUACAUUACAUCUGUGGUGCAGAAGCUAUCCCAGCGAAGAGAACAGGCAGAGAUAGACCUUCAAUUACUACGUGAAGAUUGCUCUCUUGUUUUGGAGGAACCACAUCUUAAUAAGAAUGCGAAAGCUGAUCGAGAAGUAUCAAGUUCCAACACUUCAGAAGUUAGAGAUGACAGAGUGAUUCAAAUGGUUUCUACUGUGCAGAAACAAAAGUGCCAGUGCCUGAAGGUUGCCCUCAGUUACAGUGACAUUGAUUUUCCAAAUACACAGUUUAGUGGUGAUCUGUAUGAAAAUUUCACAGGAUUUGUUUGUCAAACCAACAUUACUUUAAAAGUGAUUGCGUUGGAUGCUGUUCAGUUUCACACAUUUCCAGAACACUUAGGAAUUAAUAUAAUGGAAGAAAAACAUCAAACAGCCGUUUUAAUUCUUGACAUGAAAAAAGAGACACAUUACCUACUGAAGGAAGAAAUAGACAAAAAAUCACUGAUGGAUUUCAUUGCAAAUUACACCCGAGGAUUGUUGGAUCGUUACUUAAGAAGCACGAUUAAGGAAACACGAGAAUGUGUAAUGACACGUGACAGUGAAAAUGUCUGUGUCCAUGAGGUGACCACGGAUACUUUCAACAGAGUAGUAAUGAAUCCCAACAAGGAUGUUUUACUCCUCUAUUAUGCCCCCUGGUGUGGAUUUUGUAAAGGUACUUCCCAUAUUUACCUAACUGUGGCAAAGUAUUUCUCUGGAAUCUCAGGAAUUUUAUUUGCAAGAAUUAACGGAGAUGAAAAUGAUCUUCCUUGGGAAUAUACGGUAGAAAAGUACCCUACCUUGAUAUUCUUUCCAGCUCGUAGGAAAGCCGAAAGCAUGAAGUUCCCACAAUCGUUGCAUUUGACAACUACUAAUCUCCUUCAGUUUAUUCUAACUAAUGCUCAGUUCACUGUGAGAUGGCAGGCUGCAGCCGUGAUGUGUAACAAAAAAUGUGUUACUCAGAACUUUCUACAUUCUCUUGCAGAAAUUAAACAUCAUUAUAUCCAACAAAGACUUAUUCUUAAACAGAUUAAUUUGGUUCAACACAAAUUAUAUGAAAUGAAGCUGAGAACAGAUGGAAAGAAAAGGAAACAUUCCUUAGAGACAAUACAGCAAUUCCAGAUAUUAGAAGACUAUUUGAAGUACCUUGUUUUAAACUUAAGAAACAAAAGAAAAGCAAUCAUUAACACAAUAAAUCUUCAAGAUUUACUUCGAAAAAGGUUGGGUUCAACUUUAAUUGAGGAUACAUAUAAAGACCUUAAUAAGAAAACAUACUUAUUUUUAAAAAUACGCUUUACAAGAAAACAACGGAAGAAGAAAAGAAGAAGAAGAAGACGGUAAAAUCUUCAAAAAGUUUGAAACAGCAUUUAAAAACAGAAAAAUAUCAAGAGUGAGGGAGGAGCUUUAGCUAAGUAUGAUAGUUAAUAGUUUUUAAUUUAGCUGUUGCAUUUUAUGGAAACUGGAAAUCCCUUGUGUUAACAGCUAUGUUAGUAUUACUGAAAAGUGUUCUGUUAUCACUGUAUUGACACGAAUAGAUGGAUUUCUUAAUUGAUUCUCAUCUUACUGUUUGCUGUCCACAAUGAUAAAACAAAGAGAAAAAGUGUACUUGUAAUGAAAUCAAAACAAAAGGUAGGGAAGCUAACUUUAAUAGUGUUAUGAUGAACUUAUUAAUGCAGUCUGAAAACAAACAAACAAACAUAUUUUUAAUUGUUGAUUAUGGAAAAAUCAUAAAGUUUGGUCAAAAUUCUGAUUUUUGAAUAUUACAAAUACUUUUAUUCUCAUUGGUAAAAACUAUUUUAGGUUUAUGAGUUCCCAUUUAAUAUUAUUGUGAAAUGAUAAAAACCCUAUGACCCAGUGCUUAUGAAAGGUCUUCCUUUGGAAAACGUUUGGGUUAUAGGGUUUUAUUAUUUUAUAUUAAAGCUUCUUGAACCUACGUAUUUUUCUGGAUGUUAUUAAUGUGAUUCGUGCACUCAUCUGUUGUAUAUAGUUAUUUUUAUCCUGCACAAAGAACAUUGAGAACUUUCAAUAGAUCAUGAACUGUAUCAGAAACAGAAAUAGUGAUAUAAAUUAAGAGAAGGAAGUAUUACAAAAAGCUAGAGGUUAUUAAAAAAGGCUAGAAGUUAUUGAAAAAAGGUUAGAAGUUAUUGAAAAAAGGCUAGAAGUUAUUGAAAAAAGGUUAGAAGUUAUUGAAAAAUGGCUAGAGGUUAUUGAAAAAUGGCUGGAGGUUAUUGAAAAAUGGUUAGAGGUUAUUUAAAAAAGCUAGAGGUUAUCAUAAAAAAGGUUAGAGGUUAUUAAAAAAAGGCUAUAGGUUUUUAAAAAAUGACUAGAGAUUAUUUUCAUGUUAUUUUGUAGCUUACUAUACACACACA
Molecule: unclassified non-coding RNA, 3442 nt
Filed under: Limulus polyphemus (Atlantic horseshoe crab)
Lineage: Eukaryota; Metazoa; Arthropoda; Merostomata; Xiphosura; Limulidae
Description: thioredoxin domain-containing protein 11-like, transcript variant X1
Source: RNAcentral